UACGUAGGGUCCGAGCGUUGUCCGGAUUUAUUGGGCGUAAAGAGCUCGUAGGCGGCUCAGUAAGUCAGAUGUGAAAACUCAGGGCUCAACCCGGAGACGCCAUCUGAUACUGCUGUGGCUUGAGUCUGGUAGGGGAUCACGGAAUUCCUGGUGUAGCGGUGAAAUGCGCAGAUAUCAGGAGGAACACCGGUGGCGAAGGCGGGUCUCUGGGCCGAUACUGACGCUAAGGAGCGAAAGCGUGGGGAGCGAACAGG
This 254-nucleotide ribosomal RNA is filed under the name uncultured bacterium. RNAcentral's name for it is "partial 16S ribosomal RNA". It matches the Rfam family "Bacterial small subunit ribosomal RNA", at positions 524 to 776 of the family's 1533-position model. The record is from RNAcentral.